CCUACGGGUGGCAGCAGUAGGGAAUGUUGCGCAAUGGGCGAAAGCCUGACGCAGCAACGCCGCGUGAACGAGACGGGCUUCGGGGUGUAAAGCUCUGUCAGAGGGGACGAAAAAGGACGGUACCCACAGAGGAAGCAAUGGAUAACUCCGGGACAGCAGCCGCGGUAAAACGGAGGGUGCAAGCGUUGUCCGGAAUCAUUGGGCGUACAGAGGUCGUAGGCGGCAUGGACAGGACGGUGGUAAAGGCGCAGGCUCAACCUGUGUAUGGCACUUGAUACUUGCACGCUUGAUGGCGGUAGCGGUCACCGGAAUUCCUGGUGUAGCGGUGAAAUGCUUCGAUAUCAGG
This 346-nucleotide ribosomal RNA is filed under the name uncultured bacterium. RNAcentral's name for it is "partial 16S ribosomal RNA". It matches the Rfam family "Bacterial small subunit ribosomal RNA", at positions 338 to 701 of the family's 1533-position model. The record is from RNAcentral.